This 355-nucleotide transfer-messenger RNA is filed under the name Dethiosulfatarculus sandiegensis. Its description in RNAcentral is "Standard tmRNA". It matches the Rfam family "transfer-messenger RNA". From Rfam's summary of the family: Bacterial tmRNA, also known as 10Sa RNA or SsrA, is named for its dual tRNA and mRNA-like properties. Lineage: Bacteria; Pseudomonadati; Thermodesulfobacteriota; Desulfarculia; Desulfarculales; Desulfarculaceae. The record is from Rfam by way of RNAcentral.
GGGGGCGACAAGGUUUCGACGGGGAUAGUUGAGAUUUAAGUGGCAUGUCGGGAUCCUGCUGGCCCGUUAUCCGGCGGGAAAUUAAAGUAAUCGCAGACGAUUACGCAUACGCUGCGGCAGCUUAAUGCCGUUGUCCGCCCAGCCUAAGCCUGCGGGGUUGGGAUCGGGCAUCGAUUAGCGGGCUAGGAAACGAAUCUCGCCUUGUGGAUUCGGGACCGAAACUUAAGCAAGGCUGGCUUGGAAGAAACCCUGUUCGUGGGGGCUCGGCCAGGCGAGAUUUAAAACACGAACUAAGCAUGUAGAGGCUUAGGUUGAAGAUUUCCGGACGGGGGUUCGAUUCCCCCCGCCUCCACCA